This 301-nucleotide ribosomal RNA is filed under the name uncultured bacterium. Its description in RNAcentral is "partial 16S ribosomal RNA". It matches the Rfam family "Bacterial small subunit ribosomal RNA", at positions 509 to 809 of the family's 1533-position model. The record is from RNAcentral.
CAGCCGCCGCGGUAACACGUAGGUGGCAAGCGUUGUCCGGAUUUAUUGGGCGUAAAGCGAGCGCAGGCGGUCAAUUAAGUCUGAUGUGAAAGCCCCCGGCUCAACCGGGGAGGGUCAUUGGAAACUGGUUGACUUGAGUGCAGAAGAGGAGAGUGGAAUUCCAUGUGUAGCGGUGAAAUGCGUAGAUAUAUGGAGGAACACCAGUGGCGAAGGCGAUUCUCUGGUCUGUAACUGACGCUGAGGCUCGAAAGCGUGGGUAGCAAACAGGAUUAGAUACCCCCGUAGUCCCUGUCUCUUAUAA